Molecule: RNase P RNA, 350 nt
Filed under: Xanthomonas sp. 60
Lineage: Bacteria; Pseudomonadati; Pseudomonadota; Gammaproteobacteria; Lysobacterales; Lysobacteraceae
Description: RNase P class A
Rfam family: Bacterial RNase P class A
About the family: Ribonuclease P (RNase P) is a ubiquitous endoribonuclease, found in archaea, bacteria and eukarya as well as chloroplasts and mitochondria. Its best characterised activity is the generation of mature 5'-ends of tRNAs by cleaving the 5'-leader elements of precursor-tRNAs.
Source: RNAcentral
GGAGCAGGCCAGACAGUCGCGUCAUCCUUCGGGAUGCCGAGGAAAGUCCGGGCUCCACAGGGCAAGGUGCCAGGUAACGCCUGGGCGGCGCAAGCCGACGGAAAGUGCAACAGAAAGAUACCGCCGAACGGCCUUCCGGGCGCGUGGCAAGGGUGAAAUGGUGCGGUAAGAGCGCACCGCGAGUCUGGCAACAGACCGGUACGGCAAACCCCACCUGGAGCAAGACCAAAUAGGGACCUCAUGACGCGGCCCGCGUCGGGUCCGGGUAGGUUGCUUGAGCGUCACGGUGACGUGGCGCCUAGAGGAAUGACUGUCCACGACAGAACCCGGCUUAUCGGCCCGCUCCGCCC